Molecule: long non-coding RNA, 500 nt
Organism: Entelurus aequoreus (snake pipefish)
Lineage: Eukaryota; Metazoa; Chordata; Actinopteri; Syngnathiformes; Syngnathidae
Exons: 3
Source: RefSeq, a predicted model, not a curated record
GUCUCCAACACCUCAAAGCUUGGGAAAUUUGCAUCAGCCAUCAAAACAUCUUACUAGAUCUUAAUGGGCCCCAUUCAGCAACCGUUCUUAAGAACACAUUUUGUUCCAAGGCCCACUUACAAAGUUUUUAAGGAGAUUUUUGUAUUCACCAAUGUUUUCUUAGCUGGGAUUUGUUCGAAGAGAAACCCUGGUGAAAACAUAACCUCUUUGGCGGAGCCGAUGUAAAAAAAAUCUACGUUUCCAAGCCAACACGGAGCCAGCAAGUCACGGCGCAGCAAACGGAGCAGCUGCAGCCUGACCGUCAAGCCGUGCUCUGGCAUAAGGCAGCUCACAUUCUAGACAAGUCACCACCUCAUAAACUUCCAUCCAGAAAAGAUAUUCGAAGCCAGCAAAACCAGUGUGAGGAAUUUACAUUAUUAAAAGUUUAAUUGUUUUAUUUUUUGCGAAACAACAUAUUGCAGACUGAUAUAAACAUGUCCUCUGUGGAGGACACUGCUUGU